GAGUGCAGGGCGUUUCGCCCAAUCCGCACGGCGCACUCCGCACCCAAUCCCCCGUCUCGUCAGGCCCCAUCCCCCACGGGACAAACCCUAGCCUUACAUCCCACACUACCUCCUCCUCCAUCCUCGUUAGCCGCCGCCGCCGCCGUUCUGCCUCCCUCCUCUCUGCCCUACAACCUCGCCGCCGGGAGGAAGCCUCCGUUCGUGGCGCCAUACCGCUGCCGUUGUGUUGUGCACGCUUCGUUCCCCACAGCCCCUCCCUCAUCCUCGCUCGGCACCGCCGCUGCCUGCUACUCCCCUCCACCACCGUUGCUGCUUGUGGGUCGAAUCUAGCAUUGGUGGGUCAGAGCUCAAGCUAGAGGCCGAGACGGGGCUGGGCGAGCUGAUUCCAGGUGCGGGUUCGCCCUCUCCCCGCGCGGCGCGUGCGCAUCACGCCGUCUACGGGAGCGUGGGGGCAGGCCUCGCCCGCACCCCUCCGCCCUACCUCCCUCCUCGAUCUCUCUCCCUGGUCAGCCGCCACCAACCCUAGCCCCCUUUCAUACGCCGACUCCUCUCUCUGUCCGUGCAGGCGGCCAUCUUCGUUCCACCCCGAGCUUCUCAUCCUCCUUCCUUGCUUCUCUACUCCCACACGAAGGAGGAAGAUGCAAAUGGCGUCGGCUUUGGGAGAUAGCUCGCCCGGCUGCAGGGAAGGGCGACGGGACCGGCAUCCUGGGCGGUGGCGACGGUUGGACUCCAGGAGCUGCCGAGGUUGUCCUCACCAAGGAAGCGGCCGACAGCGCAAGGGAAGCUUCUGGACGGGAUUUAGACAAGGAAACGGAGACCCGUGCGAAAUCGAGCAUCCUGGUGGUGCCUCAACCAAAGCGGGUCGACGGAUAGCGCGGUGAGCACGGAGCAUGGUGCAGCGAGUUGGAUAGGCGGCAAGAGAGGUGACCACGGGUGUGGCUUGGGGAGCUCCGCACACAUGAAGUGAUGAUGAGUGCAUCCGACCCCACCAUGCUGCUGGUCCUGGAGAACAAGGGGUAUAUGAACCAGAAAUGAUGUGAUAUACUUGGUUAUUUGAACAUGAAGGUCAGCCGCGGGGUGGCGCGACAUGGGCUCAUUACAAGCUUCGGCUGGAUCAAAUAGUGGGCCUUCUAUAUAUAUAUAUAUUCAGCUGUAUCAUUUCUUACUAUAUAUAUCUUCCUGUCGACCAGACGAAACCAUACAUGGAUCCUUUGCCUCCUUUCUUGCUCAGACCCCAUGAUACAACCUCGGCGGCUGUCCAGCGACUAACAGGGUGCUCCACCGAUGGUGAAAAUACCUCACAUAAUGAUGUUGGAUAUUAGUGGCUGAGUAUUGAAGCAAAAUGUGACAGUUGCAUGAUGUGCUUGACUGUUUAUUUGCAUACAGCAAUAUCAUCUUUUGGAGAUAAUACAGCCGUAUGGCUGUUACAUGAGACCAUGUCGGAAGACCCUGCUGCUAUGUAAGCAAAAGGAUUCAUGAUACCCACGGUGAAAACAGAGAUAACAUGCUACAGUUAGAGCAGCAUUGAGAAACCAAGGACACGAAAUGAGUCUGAAAAAUGCUAUGGGCUGAUUCGUUCUAGCUAGGCUAUGUGUGGUAGAAGUUGUACUCACAGGAAGACUAUCGUGCUUUGUAUAAACCACGUUCUAUGAUUCACUUCUGUUAUGCUUAUUUACAUUCCAGUGUUAGGACUGAAAUCCAUCUAUUGUAAUGAAUUUGGUUGUAUUGGCAUUACCUAUUUGACUUAGGCUUGGUUCAUCACAUAUCGAUUGUUUUUCUUGUAACCCGCUGCUUGUAUGACCUAAAACUGUCAUGUAUAUGAGGCAAGUUAUUAGCAAUGUUUCACAUUUUCUUA
Long non-coding RNA from Triticum dicoccoides, 1855 nucleotides. RefSeq lists it as uncharacterized. Lineage: Eukaryota; Viridiplantae; Streptophyta; Magnoliopsida; Poales; Poaceae. The transcript has 6 exons. The record is from RefSeq and is a predicted model, not a curated record.